AUUGGUCAAUGGGCGGAAGCCUGAACCAGCCAUGCCGCGUGCAGGACGACGGCCCUACGGGUUGUAAACUGCUUUUCUGCGGGAAGAAUAACCCCCUCGUGAGGGGGGAUGCCGGUACCGCAGGAAUAAGGAUCGGCUAACUCCGUGCCAGCAGCCGCGGUAAUACGGAGGAUCCGAGCGUUAUCCGGAUUUACUGGGUUUAAAGGGUGCGUAGGCGGGCGCUUAAGUCAGCGGUGAAAGGCAGCGGCUCAACCGAUGAACUGCCGUUGAAACUGGGCGCCUUGGAUUCGGUCGGGGCCGGCGGAAUGCGUGGUGUAGCGGUGAAAUGCUUAGAUAUCACGCGGAACGCCGAUCGCGAAGGCAGCUGGCCAGGCCGAGAUCGACGCUGAGGCACGAAAGCGUGGGGAUCAAACAGGAUUAGAUACCCUGGUAGUCCACGCCGUAAACGAUGAUCACUGGAUGCCGGCGACACGCUGUCGGCGUCUGAGCGAAAGCAUUAAGUGAUCCACCUGGGGAGUACGAUCGCAAGGUUG
This 533-nucleotide ribosomal RNA is filed under the name bacterium Oil-K-3. RNAcentral's name for it is "bacterial SSU rRNA". It matches the Rfam family "Bacterial small subunit ribosomal RNA", at positions 363 to 896 of the family's 1533-position model. The record is from RNAcentral.